This 301-nucleotide ribosomal RNA is filed under the name uncultured bacterium. Its description in RNAcentral is "partial 16S ribosomal RNA". It matches the Rfam family "Bacterial small subunit ribosomal RNA", at positions 509 to 807 of the family's 1533-position model. The record is from RNAcentral.
CAGUCGCCGCGGUAAUACGAAGGGGGCUAGCGUUGCUCGGAAUUACUGGGCGUAAAGGGAGCGUAGGCGGACAUUUAAGUCAGGGGUGAAAUCCCAGAGCUCAACUCUGGAACUGCCCUUGAUACUGGGUGUCUUGAGUGUGAUAGAGGUAUGUGGAACUCCGAGUGUAGAGGUGAGAUUCGUGGAUAUUCGGAAGAACACCAGUGGCGAAGGCGACAUACUGGAUCAUUACUGACGCUGAGGCUCGAAAGCGUGGGGAGCAAACAGGAUUAGAUACCCGCGUAGUCCCUGUCUCUUAUAC